Molecule: long non-coding RNA, 3880 nt
Organism: Lagopus muta (rock ptarmigan)
Lineage: Eukaryota; Metazoa; Chordata; Aves; Galliformes; Phasianidae
Exons: 3
Source: RefSeq, a predicted model, not a curated record
GGCUGGUGACAUUUAUUUUCUAAAUGCUGGGAUUAAGUUUGGCUUCUUAAUGUCAUAAUAGCAACAGCUCCACAUCUCGCCUGCUCCUGAAGUGCAGGGUUGGUCUGUGCGUUGGUCCUGCUGGCACCUCCAUGGAAAAGGCAGAAUGAGACAGAAGCAACAGGCCUCAACCAGUCUGGGAAAUAAGUAUUCCAUUAAAAUUGGGAGAAAAAAAAAAACGUGCCAUCUGCAGGCCUGCAGCAGGGUGUCCAUAAGCAGCACUGCACCUCAUCCAAAGACCCCAAAACCUUCAGAGAAUGAAUCAAGUACACCCUCAGCAAUUUGCUGAUGACACCAAGCUGAGUGGUGUGGUUGACACGGUGGAAGGAAGGGAUGCCAUUCAGAGGGACCUCAACAGACUUGACAGGUGGGCCCGGGUGAACCUAAUAAGGUUCAACACAGCAAAGUACAAGGUUUCGCAUUUGGACCGGAGGAAUCCUAGGCAUCUAUACAGACUGAAAGGAGCAGUCUUUGAGAGCAACCCUGCAGAGAAGGUCCUCAGGGUCCAGAUGGAUGAAAAACUGAAUAUGAGCCAGCAGUGUGCUCUUGCAGCUCGGAAAGCAAAUGGUAUCCUGGGUUCCAAUAGAAGAGGGGUGGCCAGCAGGGAAGGGAGGUGAUUGUCCCCCUCUACUCUGCUCUUGUGGGGCCCCAUCUGGAGUACUGUGUCCAGGUCUGGAGCCCCUAAUACAAGAAAGACAGAGAGCUGUUGGAGAGGGUUCAGAGAAGAGCCACAAAGAUGAUAAGAGGGCUGGAGCACUUCCCAUAAGAAGACAGGCUGAGGGAGUUGGGCUUGUUCAGCCUGGAGAAAAGAAGGCUGUGGGGUGACCUCAUUGCAUUCUUUCAGUACCUAAAGGGAGCCUAUAAACAGGAGGGGAGUCAACUCUUUACAAGAGUAUAUAACAGCAGGACAAGGGGAAAUGGUUUUGAGGGAGGGAAGAUUUAGGUUGGAUGUCAGGGGGAAGUUAUUUACAGAGAGAGUGGUGAGGUGCUGAACAGGCUGCCCAGAGAGGCUGUGGAUGCCCCAUCCCUGGAUGUGUUCAAGGCCAGACUAGAUGGAGCCUUGACUAGAUGGUCUAGUAUUAUAUGUGGAGGUUGGCCCUGGCUAUGGCAGGGGGGUUGAAGCUUAAUGAUCCUUGAGGUCCCUUCUAACCCGGGCCAUUCUGUGAGCAGCUCUGAGGGGCACUGAGCAGGGGUGGAAACACAGCCUGACCAUUUGCCAUGGGUUGAUUCAAACCACAUUGGAACAGGGAGGUGCUCCUGAGCACCUGCAGUACAUCGAUGACAUGGUGGUGUGGGGUGAUACAGCAGAGAAAGUUUUUAAGAAAGGAGUGCAAAUAAUCCAAAUUCUUCUGCGUGCUAGUUUUGCUAUUAAGCAAAACAAAGUGAAAGGACCUGCCCAAGAAAUUCAGUUCCUAGGAGUAAAAUGGCAAGAUGGGCAUCAUCACAUCCCAGGAGAUGUGAUCAACAAAAUCACCACUAUGUCUCCAUCCACUAGCAAGAAAGAGACACAAUCUUUUCUGGGUGUAGUGGGCUUUUGGAGAAUGCACAUCCCAAACUAUAGAACAGCAGCAGGCUUUUGAGCAGAUUAAAAAAGAGAUAGCCUGUGCUGCGGCCCUAGGGCCAGUACGGAUGGGACAGAAUGUAAAGAACAUCCUCUAAGCUGCUACUGGAGAGAAAGGUCCCACUUGGAGGUUGUGGCAAAGAGCCUCAGGAGAGACCCGAGGCUGACCUCUGGUAUUCUGGAGUACAGGGGCGUAGAAGGGGUCAGAAGAGUGCUAAACUACAACUGAAAAGAUCUUAGCUGCAUAUGAGGGGGUUUGGGCUAAUUCCAAAGUAAUUGGCACUGAAACACAGCUCCUUCUGGCACCUUGACUGCCAGUGUUGAACUGGAUGUUUAAAGGAAUGUUUAAAGGAUGUUUAAAGGAAAGGUCCCCUCCACCCAUCACGCUACUGAUGCCACUUGAGUAAGUGGAUUGCGCUGAUUUGCAAUGAAUGCGGAUGGGGAACCUCAACCGUCCAGGAAUCCUAGAGGUGAUCAUGGACUGGCCUGAAGGCAAAAAGUUUGGAACAUCACCAGCAGAAGAGGUAUCAUGUGCUAGCUCACCAUACAGUGAACUAGCAGAAAAUGAAAAGAAAUUUGCCCUGUUCACAGACCGAUUGUAUCGUAUGGUAGAGAAGCAUUGCAGAUGGAAAGCUGGUGUGUGGAGCCCCACAUGACAAGCCACUGAAGGAAAAGGAGAAUCAAGUGAGUUCACAGAGGUAAAGGCCAUCCAGCUGGCCUUAGAUGUUGCUGAAUGGGAGAGGUAGCCAGUGAUUUAUCUUUACACUGACUCGUGGAUGGUGGCAAAUGCCUUAUAGGGGUGGUUACAGCAGUGGGAACAAAACAACUGGCAAUGGAAAGGUAAACCUAUUUGGGCUGCUGAACUGUAGAAAAAUAUUGCUGCCCAAACAAAAAAUAUGGUUACAAAGGUGCGUCACACAGAUGCCCGUGUGUCCAAGAGUAGGGCUACUGAAGAUCAGCAAAAUAGCCAUCAGGUAGUUCGAGCUGCCAGAAUUGAGGUGGCUCAAAUAGACCUGGACUGGCAGAACAAGGAAGAAUUAUUUCUAGCUCAGUAGGCCCACAAGAGCUGAGGCCAUCAAGGAAGAUACGUGACAUAUAAGUGGGCCAGAGACUGUGGACUUAACCCGACAGAGGGGUGGACUUAACUAUGGAUGCAAUUGCACAAGUUGUUCAUGUCUGCAACACGUGCCAUAAUUAAACAAGCUAAGAGGAUGAAACCUCUCUGGGGGGAAAGGGUGAUGGCAAAAGUAUAAAUAUGGGAAAGCAUAGCAGGUUGAUUGUAUCAUCUUGCCACGAUCUCACAGUGGUAAGUGUUACAUGCUCACCAUGGUAGAGACAACCACUCAGUUACUUGAAACAUACGCAGUACCCAUGCUACAACCCGAGACACAGUAUUAGAUCUGGAGAAGCAAAUCUUGUGGCAACAUGGCACCCCAGAAAGAAUUGAAUCAGAUAAUGGGAUCCAUUUCAAAAUUUCACAUGUGGAUAUUUGGGCCAGAGAACAUGGUAUUGAGUGGAUUUAUCAUAUCCCCUACCAUGCACCAGCCUCUGGUAAGAUCAAAUGCUACAACAGGUUGUUAAAAACCAUGUUGAAAGCAAUGGGUGGUGGAACAUUAAAGCAUCGGGAGAAGCAUUCAGCAGAAGCCACCUGGUUGGUCAAUACUAGAGGAUCAGUCCUACCCACUCCAGCUUCCUACAUACUGCAGAGGGAGAUAAGGUCCCUAUGGUACUUGUAAAAAGCACAUUGGGAAAAGCAGUCUGGGUCCUUCCAGCUUCUGGAAAGGGCAAACCCCUCUGUGGAACUGUUUUUGCACAGGGACCUGGGCACACUUGGUGGGUGAUGGAGAAAAAUGGGAAUGUCCAGUGUGUACCACAAGGGAAUUUGAUGCUGGGGGAGUAGUCAGUAAUUCCACAUGUACAUUUGUAUAUAGACAUGUGCAUAUGUAAUGCAUGUUAAUUAUUUCUUUGUUCGUAUAUAGGUAUUUGUUAAGCGUGAUGUGGUGAUCUGGAAUAAGGGGUGGAAUGUUGUGGUUUUGUGAUUUUUUACUGUCGGUAUUCCACAUCAGAACAUCGUGUGAACCAGCAGGAGUAAAAGAGUUCAUGUCCUGGUUCCAUUUACUGCCUCUUAAGGGCAUUUCAAGUAUUCUGAUUGGAGGGGCGGCAUUCCUGGAGGACUCCUGGAGGCGCGAAGAGGAAGAUGGGUGGAGCUCUGGACAGGACCCCGUGCUUCUUUCUCCCUCAGGCCCAGCUCACUCUCGGUUUGCGAUAGAGAAAAGCACA